UCAAUAAGCGGAGGAAAAGAAACCAACAGGGAUUGCCUCAGUAACGGCGAGUGAAGCGGCAACAGCUCAAAUUUUAAAGCUGGCGUCCUCGACGUCCGCGUUGUAAUUUGGAGAGGCACCUUCGGUUUGGGCGCCGGCUUAUGUUCCUUGGAACAGGACGUCACAGAGGGUGAGAAUCCCGUGCCGUCGGCUGUCCCAUUCCACGUGAAGUGUCUUCGACGAGUCGAGUUGUUUGGGAAUGCAGCUCAAAAUGGGUGGUAAAUUUCAUCUAAAGCUAAAUAUUGGUGGGAGACCGAUAGCGCACAAGUAGAGUGAUCGAAAGAUGAAAAGCACUUUGAAAAUAGAGUUAAAAAGUACGUGAAAUUGUGAAAGGGAAGCGCUUGAGACCAGACUCGGCUUCGGACGAUCAGCCUCCCUUCUGGGCGGUGCACUCGUCUUUGGUCGGGCCAGCAUCGGUUGAGACGGCGGGACAAGGGCUUCGGGAAUGUGGCUCCUCUCGGGGAGUGUUAUAGCCCGUGGUGCAAUGCCGCCCGCCUCGACCGAGGACCGCGCUUCGGCUAGGAUGCUGGCGUAAUGGUCUUCAGCGACCCGUCUUGAAACACGGACCAAGGAGUCUAACAUCUAUGCGAGUGUUUGGGUGUCAAACCCUUGCGCGGAAUGAAAGUGAACGGGGGUGGGAACCCGCAAGGGCGCACCAUCGACCGGUCCUGAUGUCUUCGGAUGGAUCGAGUAGGAGCAUAGCUGUUGGGACCCGAAAGAUGGUGAACUAUGCCUGAAUAGGGUGAAGCCAGAGGAAACUCUGGUGGAGGCUCGCAGCGGUUCUGACGUGCAAAUCGAUCGUCGAAUUUGGGUAUAGGGGCGAAAGACUAAUCGAACCAUCUAGUAGCUGGUUCCUGCG
This 898-nucleotide ribosomal RNA is filed under the name Leucangium purpureum. RNAcentral describes it as "Leucangium carthusianum var. purpureum partial large subunit ribosomal RNA". It matches the Rfam family "Eukaryotic large subunit ribosomal RNA", at positions 43 to 962 of the family's 3401-position model. The record is from RNAcentral. Lineage: Eukaryota; Fungi; Ascomycota; Pezizomycetes; Pezizales; Morchellaceae.